AUCCUGUUGUGGUUCAUAAGAAUAGGGACUGGGUUUUCACACUCGUGUGAGAUGUGCCUUCCUUAAACCUUAAGACAUUGGCACAUUACCUAUCUGAUG
This is a small nucleolar RNA of Sapajus apella (tufted capuchin), 99 nucleotides long. RefSeq annotates it as small nucleolar RNA U13. Lineage: Eukaryota; Metazoa; Chordata; Mammalia; Primates; Cebidae. The record is from RefSeq and is a predicted model, not a curated record. The transcript has a single exon.